UUAGCUUGCCAGGGAGGAAGAUUAUUUCCUUUUCUUUUGGUCAACAUGCCUUAAGUGAAGAGACAUGAUCCUCUUUUCACUCUAUUGUCCCCCUUUGUUGACUUUUUCCUCCCUUUUUUCUUUAUUCAAGGUACGAUGAACCUAGACUAGGUUGACCACUUUUUUCCAUCCAACCUCUCAUUGCUACACCACCCUCCUCUCCUUCCCAUUUUCUCUCUUUUUCUCUUUUGUUUAGCUCUCAACCUUCCCAUUUUUCUUUUCUUUUAUUUUUUCCUCCAUCCUUCUUAGUUGUGCAUCACCUAUAUUUCACCACCGAACCACCACCCAUCACCUCUCCCCUCUCCUUUUUUUUUUCUCUUCGAGCGCUGCCCCUUGCGUCGCCUUCCUCCACCGUGUCAACCACCGCGCACCACCACUAAAUUCCUCUUUUUUUUUUUCUUCUUUCUUUUGUUUCUCUUCUCUUCUCCAUUAAGAAAAUGAUCGAAUCAUUGUUCAUUCUUUCUCCUCCGUCGAACUGUUGCAACUAUUGCUAGACUGUCACCAUAGCACCACCACCGACGAUUAUUCCUUCUCCGAUUUGUGACCCAUUCGAUUCGUUGAUCCUCCAUUCCAUUCGUGUGAGAGUAAAUAUAAAGGAAGGGUCAAUCGACAUCAACCCGAGAGAUCGUUAAUUGUUGGGUUUUAAUCACUAAUCCGAGAGAUCUUAUAAGGGUGAGGGCUUGUUUUGGAGCUCUAAAAGGAAGAUUGACCUCUACUGAUCUCAUCACAAAUCAACCUUUGAAGCAAGUAUGAAUUUAAAUUUUAGGCAUUAUUUUUUGGCAUGUACAUAGGAAUAUGCUAAGAAUGUUUGUGGAUGAAUUCAAUGAAAGAAAUUGAUGGUUUUUGAUCUUCUUGUAAAUUUUGUAUCUUGAACAUGUUUAAUGUUGCUUUAAGUUGAAUUAAGUGAUGUCUAAGGAUGGAAAUUGACAUA
Long non-coding RNA from Gossypium raimondii (Peruvian cotton), 970 nucleotides. RefSeq lists it as uncharacterized. The transcript is spliced from 4 exons. The record is from RefSeq and is a predicted model, not a curated record. Lineage: Eukaryota; Viridiplantae; Streptophyta; Magnoliopsida; Malvales; Malvaceae.